CGCGUAGGCGGUCUAUUAAGUCUGAUGUGAAAGGUACCGGCUCAACCGGUGAAGUGCAUUGGAAACUGGUAGACUUGAGUAUUGGAGAGGCAAGUGGAAUUCCUAGUGUAGCGGUGAAAUGCGUAGAUAUUAGGAGGAACACCAGUGGCGAAGGCGGCUUGCUGGACAAAUACUGACGCUGAGGUGCGAAAGCGUGGGGAGCAAACA
Molecule: ribosomal RNA, 207 nt
Filed under: uncultured bacterium
Lineage: Bacteria
Description: partial 16S ribosomal RNA
Rfam family: Bacterial small subunit ribosomal RNA
Source: RNAcentral